AUAUCGCACGUGUCGUGUAGGUGAGAACCUGCGCUCAGGUUCGAGCCGAGCGAAGCGAGACAGCAACGCGUUAGCGUUGACCCCAAAGGCCGAUUCAUCCUGCACGGUUCGCCA
RNAcentral lists this small RNA (114 nucleotides) under Pectobacterium polaris. RNAcentral's name for it is "RtT sRNA". It matches the Rfam family "RtT RNA". From Rfam's summary of the family: This family represents a bacterial cis-regulatory element known as RtT RNA. The exact function of RtT is unknown although it is thought that it may be involved in changing the cellular response in relation to amino acid starvation. The record is from RNAcentral. Lineage: Bacteria; Pseudomonadati; Pseudomonadota; Gammaproteobacteria; Enterobacterales; Pectobacteriaceae.